AGCAGUCGCCACGGUAAUACGUAGGUGGCAAGCGUUGUCCGGAAUUAUUGGGCGUAAAGCGCGCGCAGGCGGAUCAGUCAGUCUGUCUUAAAAGUUCGGGGCUUAACCCCGUGAGGGGAUGGAAACUGCUGAUCUAGAGUAUCGGAGAGGAAAGUGGAAUUCCUAGUGUAGCGGUGAAAUGCGUAGAUAUUAGGAAGAACACCAGUGGCGAAGGCGACUUUCUGGACGAAAACUGACGCUGAGGCGCGAAAGCCAGGGGAGCGAACGGGAUUAGAUACCCGUGUAGUCCCUGUCUCUUAUACA
Molecule: ribosomal RNA, 303 nt
Filed under: uncultured bacterium
Lineage: Bacteria
Description: partial 16S ribosomal RNA
Rfam family: Bacterial small subunit ribosomal RNA
Source: RNAcentral